GACGAACGCUGGCGGCGUGCUUAACACAUGCAAGUCGAACGGAAAGGCCUGCUUUCCCUUGUGGAUUGCGGGUACUCGAGUGGCGAACGGGUGAGUAACACGUGAGUGAUCUGCCCCCAACUUGGGUAUAAGCCUGGGAAACUGGGUCUAAUUCCCGAUAGGACUGCAGGGUGGUGCCUGUGGUGGAAAACGAUUUUCUAGUGGUUGGGGAUGAGCUCGCGGCCUAUCAGCUUGUUGGUGGGGUAAUGGCCUACCAAGGCGGCGACGGGUAGCCGGCCUGGGAGGGUGGACGGCCACAUUGGGACUGAGAUACGGCCCAGGCUCCUACGGGAGGCAGCAGUGGGGAAUAAUGCACAAUGGGCGGAAGCCUGAUGCAGCGACGCCGCGUGGGGGAUGACGGCCUUCGGGUUGUAAACUCCUUUCGACCGCGAGGAAGCCACCUGGUUGGAAGGGUGGUGACGGUAGUGGUAGAAGAAGCACCGGCUAACUACGUG
This 494-nucleotide ribosomal RNA is filed under the name uncultured bacterium. RNAcentral describes it as "partial 16S ribosomal RNA". It matches the Rfam family "Bacterial small subunit ribosomal RNA", at positions 28 to 507 of the family's 1533-position model. The record is from RNAcentral.